AGAGUUUGAUCCUGGCUCAGGAUGAACGCUGGCGGCGUGCUUAACACAUGCAAGUCGAACGAACCUUCGGGUUAGUGGCGGACGGGUGAGUAACGCGUGGGAAUCUGCCCUCAGGAGGGGGAUAACGGCUGGAAACGGCCGCUAAUACCCCAUAUGCCGAGAGGUGAAAUGAAUUUCGCCUGAGGAUGAGCCCGCGUCUGAUUAGCUUGUUGGUGAGGUAAUGGCUCACCAAGGCUUCGAUCAGUAGCUGGUCUGAGAGGAUGAUCAGCCACACUGGGACUGAGACACGGCCCAGACUCCUACGGGAGGCAGCAGUGGGGAAUUUUCCGCAAUGGGCGAAAGCCUGACGGAGCAACGCCGCGUGAGGGACGAAGGCCUCUGGGCUGUAAACCUCUUUUCUCAAGGAAGAAGAUCUGACGGUACUUGAGGAAUAAGCCACGGCUAAUUCCGUGCCAGCAGCCGCGGUAAUACGGGAGUGGCAAGCGUUAUCCGGAAUUAUUGGGCGUAAAGCGUCCGCAGGCGGCCUUUCAAGUCUGCUGUUAAAACGUGGAGCUUAACUCCAUCAAGGCAGUGGAAACUGUUGGGCUUGAGUGUGGUAGGGGCAGAGGGAAUUCCCGGUGUAGCGGUGAAAUGCGUAGAUAUCGGGAAGAACACCAGUGGCGAAGGCGCUCUGCUGGGCCAUAACUGACGCUCAUGGACGAAAGCCAGGGGAGCGAAAGGGAUUAGAUACCCCUGUAGUCCUGGCCGUAAACGAUGAACACUAGGUGUCGGGGGAAUCGACCCCCUCGGUGUCGUAGCCAACGCGUUAAGUGUUCCGCCUGGGGAGUACGCACGCAAGUGUGAAACUCAAAGGAAUUGACGGGGGCCCGCACAAGCGGUGGAGUAUGUGGUUUAAUUCGAUGCAACGCGAAGAACCUUACCAGGGUUUGACAUCCUGCGAACCUCUAAGAAAUUGGAGGGUGCCUUCGGGAACGCAGUGACAGGUGGUGCAUGGCUGUCGUCAGCUCGUGUCGUGAGAUGUUGGGUUAAGUCCCGCAACGAGCGCAACCCACGUUUUUAGUUGCCAGCAUUCAGUUGGGCACUCUAGAGAGACCGCCGGUGAUAAACCGGAGGAAGGUGUGGAUGACGUCAAGUCAUCAUGCCCCUUACAUCCUGGGCUACACACGUACUACAAUGCUACGGACAAAGGGCAGCAAACUCGCGAGAGCAAGCAAAUCCCAUAAACCGUGGCUCAGUUCAGAUCGUAGGCUGCAACUCGCCUACGUGAAGGAGGAAUCGCUAGUAAUCGCAGGUCAGCAUACUGCGGUGAAUACGUUCCCGGGCCUUGUACACACCGCCCGUCACACCAUGGAAGUUGGCCACGCCCGAAGUCGUUACUCCAACCCUUGUGGAGGAGGACGCCGAAGGUGGGGCUGAUGACUGGGGUGAAGUCGUAACAAGGUAGCCGUACCGGAAGGUGCGGCUG
RNAcentral lists this ribosomal RNA (1465 nucleotides) under Prochlorococcus sp. AG-409-J19. Its description in RNAcentral is "bacterial SSU rRNA". It matches the Rfam family "Bacterial small subunit ribosomal RNA". Lineage: Bacteria; Bacillati; Cyanobacteriota; Cyanophyceae; Synechococcales; Prochlorococcaceae. The record is from RNAcentral.